UAUAAUGCUUGUAUUUCGUGUCUUCAAGGA
RNAcentral lists this non-coding RNA (30 nucleotides) under Mus musculus (house mouse). Lineage: Eukaryota; Metazoa; Chordata; Mammalia; Rodentia; Muridae. The record is from RNAcentral.